RNAcentral lists this ribosomal RNA (1372 nucleotides) under uncultured bacterium. RNAcentral describes it as "bacterial SSU rRNA". It matches the Rfam family "Bacterial small subunit ribosomal RNA", at positions 28 to 1381 of the family's 1533-position model. The record is from RNAcentral.
GAUGAACGCUGGCGGCGUGCCUAAUACAUGCAAGUCGAGCGAACAGAUAAGGAGCUUGCUCCUUUGACGUUAGCGGCGGACGGGUGAGUAACACGUGGGUAACCUACCUAUAAGACUGGGAUAACUUCGGGAAACCGGAGCUAAUACCGGAUAAUAUUUCGAACCGCAUGGUUCGAUAGUGAAAGAUGGUUUUGCUAUCACUUAUAGAUGGACCCGCGCCGUAUUAGCUAGUUGGUAAGGUAACGGCUUACCAAGGCGACGAUACGUAGCCGACCUGAGAGGGUGAUCGGCCACACUGGAACUGAGACGCGGUCCAGACUCCUACGGGAGGCAGCAGUAGGGAAUCUUCCGCAAUGGGCGAAAGCCUGACGGAGCAACGCCGCGUGAGUGAUGAAGGUCUUCGGAUCGUAAAACUCUGUUAUUAGGGAAGAACAUACGUGUAAGUAACUGUGCACGUCUUGACGGUACCUAAUCAGAAAGCCACGGCUAACUACGUGCCAGCAGCCGCGGUAAUACGUAGGUGGCAAGCGUUAUCCGGAAUUAUUGGGCGUAAAGCGCGCGUAGGCGGUUUUUUAAGUCUGAUGUGAAAGCCCACGGCUCAACCGUGGAGGGUCAUUGGAAACUGGAAAACUUGAGUGCAGAAGAUGAAAGUGGAAUUCCAUGUGUAGCGGUGAAAUGCGCAGAGAUAUGGAGGAACACCAGUGGCGAAGGCGACUUUCUGGUCUGUAACUGACGCUGAUGUGCGAAAGCGUGGGGAUCAAACAGGAUUAGAUACCCUGGUAGUCCACGCCGUAAACGAUGAGUGCUAAGUGUUAGGGGGUUUCCGCCCCUUAGUGCUGCAGCUAACGCAUUAAGCACUCCGCCUGGGGAGUACGACCGCAAGGUUGAAACUCAAAGGAAUUGACGGGGACCCGCACAAGCGGUGGAGCAUGUGGUUUAAUUCGAAGCAACGCGAAGAACCUUACCAAAUCUUGACAUCCUUUGACAACUCUAGAGAUAGAGCUUCCCCCUUCGGGGGACAAAGUGACAGGUGGUGCAUGGUUGUCGUCAGCUCGUGUCGUGAGAUGUUGGGUUAAGUCCCGCAACGAGCGCAACCCUUAAGCUUAGUUGCCAUCAUUAAGUUGGGCACUCUAAGUUGACUGCCGGUGACAAACCGGAGGAAGGUGGGGAUGACGUCAAAUCAUCAUGCCCCUUAUGAUUUGGGCUACAUACGUGCUACAAUGGACAAUACAAAGGGCAGCGAAACCGCGAGGUCAAGCAAAUCCCAUAAAGUUGUUCUCAGUUCGGAUUGUAGUCUGCAACUCGACUACAUGAAGCUGGAAUCGCUAGUAAUCGUAGAUCAGCAUGCUACGGUGAAUACGUUCCCGGGUCU